This 231-nucleotide ribosomal RNA is filed under the name uncultured bacterium. RNAcentral describes it as "partial 16S ribosomal RNA". It matches the Rfam family "Bacterial small subunit ribosomal RNA", at positions 334 to 582 of the family's 1533-position model. The record is from RNAcentral.
AGUACCUACGGGGGGCGGCAGUGGGGAAUAUUGCACAAUGGGGGAAACCCUGAUGCAGCGACGCCGCGUGAAGGAAGAAGUAUUUCGGUAUGUAGACUUCUAUCAGCAGGGAAGAAAAUGACGGUACCUGACUAAGAAGCCCCGGCUAACUACGUGCCAGCAGCCGCGGUAUUACGUAGGGGGCAAGCGUUAUCCGGAUUUACUGGGUGUAAAGGGAGCGUAGGCGGUGCA